GCCUUGGUGGAACAAUUGGCAGAUCGUCCCAGUCUAUAUUCCAAGGUGUUCUAAGGAGUCCGUGGGAAGGCGGAGGUUCGAAUCCUCCCCAAGGCA
This is a non-coding RNA of Mycena rebaudengoi, 96 nucleotides long. The record is from the annotation of a GenBank genome assembly. NCBI's taxonomy places the organism in Eukaryota, Fungi, Basidiomycota, Agaricomycetes, Agaricales, Mycenaceae.